RNAcentral lists this unclassified non-coding RNA (360 nucleotides) under uncultured fungus. RNAcentral's name for it is "sequence contains ITS1". The stretch from base 1 to 102 matches the Rfam family "5.8S ribosomal RNA", at positions 50 to 154 of the family's 154-position model. The record is from RNAcentral. Lineage: Eukaryota; Fungi.
GAAGUGCGAUAAGUGUCAUGACUUGCAGAUCCCCGAGAGCUGACAAAUUUCUGAAUGCAAAUGGCGACCAACUUACCAUUGGCCAUGUAUUGCAGAGUGUAGUUGUUCCUACUCAUCAUCCUUCUGAAACCCGUUUCACACAGGUUUCAGCACAAGGGAUCUGCGCUUGUACACACGUGCGAGCGUGAAACGUCAGAGUGGAUGCCUCUCUCUCUCUCUCGAGAGGGAGGGAGACGUCCGACUUCGGAAGGUAUCUAUAUUCUUUUAGAAGUUCCCCCAUACUCUGUCUCGUACGUACACCACUACGAGAACCCUUCUCCCUAUUCACCUCUGCAAUGCAGGAAAACCCGCUGAACUUAA